Molecule: unclassified non-coding RNA, 394 nt
Filed under: soil metagenome
Description: partial contains 5.8S ribosomal RNA, internal transcribed spacer 2, and large subunit ribosomal RNA
Rfam family: 5.8S ribosomal RNA (bases 1-122)
Source: RNAcentral
GAUGAAGAACGUAGCGAAAUGCGAUACCUGGUGUGAAUUGCAGAAUCCCGCGAACCAUCGAGUCUUUGAACGCAAGUUGCGCCCGAGGCCACCCGGCCGAGGGCACGCCUGCCUGGGCGUCACGCCAAAACACGCUCCCACCCCCCCUCACCGGGGGAGCGGGACGCGGCGUCUGGCCCCCCGUGCCGCGAGGCGCGGUGGGCCGAAGAUCGGGCUGCCGGCGUACCGUGCCGGGCACAGCGCGUGGUGGAUCUCUACUCGGCGCAGUGCACCCGGCGCGUAGCCGGCGCAGCGGCACCUAAGGACCCAACGAACGGAGCGCGAGCCGCUCCGACCGCGACCCCAGGUCAGGCGGGACUACCCGCUGAGUUUAAGCAUAUCAAUAAGCGGAGGA